This 20-nucleotide small nuclear RNA is filed under the name Arabidopsis thaliana (thale cress). RNAcentral describes it as "snRNA_18317". The record is from RNAcentral. Lineage: Eukaryota; Viridiplantae; Streptophyta; Magnoliopsida; Brassicales; Brassicaceae.
ACCGUUGAUUCGCACAAUUG